This 388-nucleotide ribosomal RNA is filed under the name uncultured bacterium. Its description in RNAcentral is "partial 16S ribosomal RNA". It matches the Rfam family "Bacterial small subunit ribosomal RNA", at positions 355 to 738 of the family's 1533-position model. The record is from RNAcentral.
UGGGGAAUUUUGGACAAUGGGCGAAAGCCUGAUCCAGCAAUGCCGCGUGUGUGAAGAAGGCCUUCGGGUUGUAAAGCACUUUUGUCCGGAAAGAAAUCCUUGGCUCUAAUACAGUCGGGGGAUGACGGUACCGGAAGAAUAAGCACCGGCUAACUACGUGCCAGCAGCCGCGGUAAUACGUAGGGUGCAAGCGUUAAUCGGAAUUACUGGGCGUAAAGCGUGCGCAGGCGGUUUGCUAAGACCGAUGUGAAAUCCCCGGCUCAACCUGGGAACUGCAUUGGUGACUGGCAGGCUAGAGUAUGGCAGAGGGGGUGAGAAUUCCACGUGUAGCAGUGAAAUGCGUAGAGAUGUGGAGGAAUACCGAUGGCGAAGGCAGCCCCUGGCAAGU